Molecule: long non-coding RNA, 1563 nt
Filed under: Homo sapiens (human)
Lineage: Eukaryota; Metazoa; Chordata; Mammalia; Primates; Hominidae
Description: HSALNT0408123
Source: RNAcentral
AGAUCAAAGAGAGACACAGAAGGUGAGACUGGGGAGAGAGAUAAUGUAAAAGGAAGAAAGAGUACAAGAGGAAGUGAGAGGAUGCAGAGAGGCUGGCAGGGCUGAGAAAAGGAUCUAGAGGCUCAAGCAACAAGGAGGUGCAGGGAAAGGGUGGAGCAUGGCCACUGAGGAGAGACAGAGCCAGAGAACUGGAGGAUGCAAGUGAGAAAGGGAUGUGGAGGAGAGUGUAGAAUCAGGCUGCUUGAGGAAUAGUAGGCUGCCUACAGCAAAGACUAGAUGGCUGUAUGUCAGGAGGUAAAUAGAGAGGAUUCAGGUUAUGAAAGGGUAAACCGAUAAGAUGACCGUUAAGGUUUUGUUGUUUUACUGAGAGGCUGUAAAUCCACCAGGGGAAGCUGUCACUAAGGCUGCAGAGGGGCUGGAGAGCUACACAGGGAAGAUCAGAACUACUGUUGUAAACAAUGCCGCUGGGUUAGGGUCUCCCCGACUGAGCUGGUAUCAGCAAAUGGCAUCCAUCAUGGGGACUCAAAUCCAGGUCAAAGGUUUGCCAGAGGGAUGGUUGGAGAACAUGGAACUAGCUAGAGGACACCUGAGUACUCUUAAAGCAAUCCCUGUGGCCAAAAUCAACAGCCAAUUUGGAUACCAUCAAGACAAAUGAAACCUUAUCAUGAGCCAGAUUCUGGGAGGAUCCCGAGGACCCCUCAGUUGAAGCCAUGUCAAGACUGACGUUGAGGAAGACCCCAGCUUUCACGAGCAACACCCGUUUAACACAGCCACCCACCUGGGGAGAGAUCACGAAGCUGUCACAGAUUGUGGAAGAAAACCUGAGAAAAGCAGGACAACCAGUCACAAUGAGUAAUUUAAUGGUAGCUAUGAUAGCAGUUAUCACCCUGCCAUGAGUAUUCCUUCAACAAGGGCUGACACAGAGAACAAUUAUACUUACUGGGCAUAUAUAUCAAUCCUGGAUGGUAAUAAUGCCUGAAUAUAAUCACUCUAUGACACAGUUACACAUGCUUUCUGAUCUCAGUAUUUACCCUAAUAAAUUUGUUCCUAUAAUUGAGGCAUACCACCUUAAAAAACCUAUUUGUAAACAAAAUAGAACCUGGCCAGAAAUAAUGAAUGUACUUGUUUAGGAAGAUUGCUUUACAGAACAGGCAGAGGGGCUGCAUAACGAUUCCUAUGGAAUCUUUAUUGAUUGGUCCCCUAAAGGGAUGUUUAACCUAAAUUGCACCUCUCAGUCUGCAUGCCAUGGCCACACUAUGCUCAGCUGAUCUAAACAAAAUGGUCAGAUGGUAGAAAUGAUAAGAAGUAUGGCAAAAGUUCCUAUUAUCUGAAACCAUGGCAGUAUAGUGGCACCUCAACCUCAAAUGAUAUGGCUUAUUGUAGGAGGUAAACAUGAAGGAUUUGUGGAAACUAUUAAUAGCUCUUAAUAAGAUCAAAAUUUGGGAAAGAAUAAAAAAGUAUCUAGAAGGACACACUACAAACUUGUUUUUGGAUAUGGCAAAAUUAGAAGAACAAAUAUUUAAAACAUCUCAAGCACACAUGGCCUUAAUGCCAGGAACUGGA